RNAcentral lists this long non-coding RNA (1424 nucleotides) under Homo sapiens (human). RNAcentral describes it as "non-protein coding lnc-UBXN4-14:1". Lineage: Eukaryota; Metazoa; Chordata; Mammalia; Primates; Hominidae. The record is from RNAcentral.
AGUCCCGUAGAUGCAGCUCUAGAAUGAGGGUGCUUUGGGCAUAACAGGCUCAGCCAUCCUUCUGGUGUCUCGCCCUGUCUCCUUUCCCAUCCUUGGGUUCACUUCUCUCCCUUUUUCUCUUCACUUCAAAAGUGGUUAGCUCCAGUUAAAUACCUGGAGUUGGGACAGCAGAAAAGCUGCUAAAUGCAGAUUUGCUUUUUCUCACUAAAGAAAGAGGAACAUUUUAGUCACUAAUUUUCACUUCAUUUAACCUUUCUUUCCACAGAAUGGCCUGACUUUUGCUGGAAGGGGACAAAGCCCUAAGACAUUUAUAUCCAUGAGUAGAACAUUUAUGAUAUCACUUACACAGCUUCCUGGCCUGAGCUUUUCCAGACUUAGCUUAUAUUUUAGUCAAAGUAGAGGGAUGGAUUUAAGGAAUUGUCUAAGAUAAGUGAGAAGAGAGGACAUUUGUCCUACCUAAAGGCAAUGGCAGCUUGUGGGUGUGGCGGGGGGAAUCUAUAAAAAACAUCGAAACAGGCUGGGCAUGGUAGCUCACGCCUGUAAUCUGAGCACUUUGGGAGGCCAAGGUGGGCGGAUCACCUGAGGUCAGGAUUUUAAGACCAGCUUGGCCAACAUGGUGAAACCCCAUCUCUACUAUACAAAAAUUGGCCAGGCAUGGUGGUGGGUGCCUGUAAUCCCAGCUACUCGGGAGGCUGAGACAGGAGAAUGGCGUGAACCCCGGAGGCAGAGGUUGCAGUGAGCUGAGAUCGCUCCACUGCACUCCAGCCUGGGCGACAGAGCGAGACUCUGUCUCAAAAAAAAAAAAAAAGAAACAAACACUUGAGGCUUGACAUUCUGCUCCUUCUCCAUGUGAGGUCUUCACUGAGCAAAAGCAAUGGUUAGCUGUGGCAGCUGUGAAGAAUCAGAGCAUGGCUGUGGGUAUGUUCCACCAGCAUCUCCAAGGCUGUAGCUGGACUUCACAAAGGCUCAGUUUCCAGAUGAGCUGCCUCUGACUGCCCUACUUCCCAGGGGCAUGGGAGGUGAAGGCCAAAUCUCCUCUCCUCUUCUCUCCUACUUUCACCUCAAGCAGUGGGACCACUGGAGCUGUGGAAAUGUCUAGGCCUCCAGUGUUUCUGCCAAUAGGGUCACAAGAGCAAGGAAAAUCUCUUGUCUCUGAAUUCUCCCUUCACUUGUCUUACCUGGGUGAUGAUGGAGGGGCAUGUUGGAAGUCUGUCUGGCUAAUUGUGUAAGAGUGUGUGUGUGUGUGCACGUGCACACACAUACAUGUGAGACACACAUGCUCAGCAACAUCCCAGCUCAGGCCUUCAUAUUCCUCAGUUAGAACUACAGAAUUAAGUGCUUACCUUACCCAUUGAAAGAGAGGCAAUACUGCUCAGUGUCAUGACUUAAAACAAGGGAAAAACCAACCAAAUCCCAAACCAAAC